This 211-nucleotide long non-coding RNA is filed under the name Crocodylus porosus (Australian saltwater crocodile). RNAcentral's name for it is "lncRNA (ENSCPRG00005008754.1)". Lineage: Eukaryota; Metazoa; Chordata; Crocodylia; Crocodylidae. The record is from RNAcentral.
AAAUGGUGAAGUUCCUGUCUCCACUUCUGGGACUGACAAGGGAGCAGGGUGGAAGAGAGGCUGUUCACCUGCCAUACACGUUUACCUGGAAGUCAGUUUUCUGAGGAAAUGGAUCCUGAAUGAUGAUAGUCUGCUGGCUAAAAAUGACUCGGGGUGAUCUUUCCAAGUUCUGGGGACCCUGAGCUCCCAGUGAAAUUCCACGGAGAAACCA